This 78-nucleotide transfer RNA is filed under the name Nitrososphaerota archaeon. RNAcentral describes it as "Thaumarchaeota archaeon tRNA-Thr". The record is from RNAcentral. Lineage: Archaea; Thermoproteati; Nitrososphaerota.
GCCUGGUAGAGCACACCCGUCUGGGGGCUCAGACGCCUCGUAAGCGUGGGGUCGUGGGUCCAACUCCCACCGCCGGCU